RNAcentral lists this ribosomal RNA (483 nucleotides) under uncultured bacterium. Its description in RNAcentral is "partial 16S ribosomal RNA". It matches the Rfam family "Bacterial small subunit ribosomal RNA", at positions 28 to 523 of the family's 1533-position model. The record is from RNAcentral.
GACGAACGCUGGCGGCGUGCUUAACACAUGCAAGUCGAACGGAAAGGCUCCAGCUUGCUGGAGUACUCGAGUGGCGAACGGGUGAGUAACACGUGGGUAAUCUGCCCUGCACUCUGGGAUAAGCCUGGGAAACUGGGUCUAAUACUGGAUAUGACCUUUCUCCUUAUGGGGUCUGGUGGAAAGUUUGUCGGUGUAGGAUGAGCCCGCGGCCUAUCAGCUUGUUGGUGGGGUGAGGGCCUACCAAGGCGACGACGGGUAGCCGGCCUGAGAGGGUGAGCGGCCACAUUGGGACUGAGAUACGGCCCAGACUCCUACGGGAGGCAGCAGUGGGGAAUAUUGCACAAUGGGCGGAAGCCUGAUGCAGCGACGCCGCGUGAGGGAUGACGGCCUUCGGGUUGUAAACCUCUUUCAGCAGGGACGAAGCGUAAGUGACGGUACCUGCAGAAGAAGCACCGGCUAACUAUGUGCCAGCCGCCGCCGUAA